Ornithodoros turicata is the source of this 559-nucleotide long non-coding RNA. RefSeq lists it as uncharacterized. The record is from RefSeq and is a predicted model, not a curated record. The transcript has 2 exons. NCBI's taxonomy places the organism in Eukaryota, Metazoa, Arthropoda, Arachnida, Ixodida, Argasidae.
UCGGAAAUGCUUCAUAGGCUUCGAAGCGCCGGCAAGAAAUUACGACACAUUAGCUUACAUGCUACAAUAUCACCAUUACAAUACACGUGGAUACAAAAAUAAGGACGAGUCAAAUCUCGCAGACGACACCGCAAGUUUACUACAGUCCGAGAGUGUGAGAGUGCUUCACGGCCUUCACGUGGUUACCCCCUCACUCCAACAAGAGGUUGUAUCACUUUCUUUCUCCGUGGAUCUACACUGUGGUGAGAGCUCACUUGGCCUCUGUGCAAAAGGCUGCUUUGAAUGAAGCAGACACUCCACUCAAGUCCAGAGGGGGAGGGAAUAGGAAGGAGAGACCUUUGCCCCCCUUACGAUGCACCCUACGGUUGCACUUGUGUACCUCUGCAAAAAAAAUCAACGAACCCACGGUCACUGUUGCGCGAAGGAACGCAACACGCGCAACGGAUAAAGAGCAAGGUAUUUGCGGAAGACUGGGGGCACCAACCUUGCAAGUCGGGAAGGAUGGAUUUCUGCAGGACACUGCGCAUCUUGCAGGUACGCCACGUGACAGCUUGGAGAA